Molecule: non-coding RNA, 95 nt
Organism: Echria macrotheca
Lineage: Eukaryota; Fungi; Ascomycota; Sordariomycetes; Sordariales; Schizotheciaceae
Source: the annotation of a GenBank genome assembly
GGCAGCUUGGCCGAGGGGUCUAUGGCGGCGCAUUUAAGGCUUACACAAGCUCUGCGCUCUCGCAAGAGGCGCGGGUUCGAAUCCCGUAGCUGCCA